UACAGAGGGCUCAAGCGUUGUUCGGAUUCAUUGGGCGUAAAGGGUGUGUAGGUGGCGCCGUAAGUCGGGUGUGAAAUUUCGGAGCUUAACUCCGAAACUGCAUUCGAUACUGCGGUGCUUGAGGACUGGAGAGGAGACUGGAAUUCAUGGUGUAGCAGUGAAAUGCGUAGAGAUCAUGAGGAAGACCAGUGGCGAAGGCGGGUCUCUGGACAGUUCCUGACGCUGAGGCACGAAGGUCAGGGGAGCAAACGGG
Molecule: ribosomal RNA, 253 nt
Filed under: uncultured bacterium
Lineage: Bacteria
Description: partial 16S ribosomal RNA
Rfam family: Bacterial small subunit ribosomal RNA
Source: RNAcentral